RNAcentral lists this unclassified non-coding RNA (342 nucleotides) under soil metagenome. RNAcentral describes it as "partial contains 5.8S ribosomal RNA, internal transcribed spacer 2, and large subunit ribosomal RNA". The stretch from base 1 to 120 matches the Rfam family "5.8S ribosomal RNA", at positions 35 to 154 of the family's 154-position model. The record is from RNAcentral.
GAUGAAGAACGUAGCGAAAUGCGAUAAGUAAUGUGAAUUGCAGAAUUCAGUGAAUCAUCGAAUCUUUGAACGCACAUUGCGCCCGCCAGUAUUCUGGCGGGCAUGCCUGUCCGAGCGUCAUUUCAACCAUCAAGCCCCCGGGCUUGUGUUGGGGACCUGCGGCUGCCCGCAGGCCCUGAAAACCAGUGGCGGGCUCGCUGUCACACCGAGCGUAGUAGUAGCAAUCACCUCGCUCAGGGCGUGCUGCGGGUUCCGGCCGUUAAACAGCCUUACAAACCCCAAGGUUGACCUCGGAUCAGGUAGGAAGACCCGCUGAACUUAAGCAUAUCAAUAAGCGGAGGA